RNAcentral lists this ribosomal RNA (484 nucleotides) under uncultured bacterium. Its description in RNAcentral is "partial 16S ribosomal RNA". It matches the Rfam family "Bacterial small subunit ribosomal RNA", at positions 30 to 507 of the family's 1533-position model. The record is from RNAcentral.
AUUGAACGCUGGCGGCAGGCCUAACACAUGCAAGUCGAGCGGAUGAAGGGAGCUUGCUCCUGGAUUCAGCGGCGGACGGGUGAGUAAUGCCUAGGAAUCUGCCUGGUAGUGGGGGAUAACGUCCGGAAACGGGCGCUAAUACCGCAUACGUCCUGAGGGAGAAAGUGGGGGAUCUUCGGACCUCACGCUAUCAGAUGAGCCUAGGUCGGAUUAGCUAGUUGGUGGGGUAAAGGCCUACCAAGGCGACGAUCCGUAACUGGUCUGAGAGGAUGAUCAGUCACACUGGAACUGAGACACGGUCCAGACUCCUACGGGAGGCAGCAGUGGGGAAUAUUGGACAAUGGGCGAAAGCCUGAUCCAGCCAUGCCGCGUGUGUGAAGAAGGUCUUCGGAUUGUAAAGCACUUUAGGUUGGGAGGAAGGGCAGCAAGUUAAUACCUUGCUGUUUUGACGUUACCAACAGAAUAAGCACCGGCUAACUUCGUG